Non-coding RNA from Brachypodium distachyon (stiff brome), 124 nucleotides. NCBI's taxonomy places the organism in Eukaryota, Viridiplantae, Streptophyta, Magnoliopsida, Poales, Poaceae. The record is from Rfam.
UUGCUACUCCCUCCGUCCCAUAUUAAGUGACAAAAUAUUACAUGUAUCUAGACGCUUUUGGGUAUAUAUACAUUCAUAUUUGGGCAAAUUUGAGUCACUUAAUAUGGGACGGAGGGAGUAGAAU